Molecule: ribosomal RNA, 478 nt
Filed under: uncultured bacterium
Lineage: Bacteria
Description: partial 16S ribosomal RNA
Rfam family: Bacterial small subunit ribosomal RNA
Source: RNAcentral
GAUGAACGCUAGCGGGAGGCCUAACACAUGCAAGCCGAGCGGUAUUGUUUCUUCGGCAAUGAGAGAGCGGCGUACGGGUGCGUAACACGUGUGCAACCUGCCUUUAUCUGGGGGAUAGCCUUUCGAAAGGAAGAUUAAUACUCCAUAAUAUAUUGAACGGCAUCGUUUAAUAUUGAAAGCUCCGGCGGAUAGAGAUGGGCACGCGCAAGAUUAGCUAGUUGGUGAGGUAACGGCUCACCAAGGCGAUGAUCUUUAGGGGGCCUAGAGGGUGAUCCCCCACACUGGUACUGAGACACGGACCAGACUCCUACGGGAGGCAGCAGUGAGGAAUAUUGGUCAAUGGGUGCAAGCCUGAACCAGCCAUCCCGCGUGAAGGACGACUGCCCUAUGGGUUGUAAACUUCUUUUGUAUAGGGAUAAACCUACCCUCGUGAGGGUAGCUGAAGGUACUAUACGAAUAAGCACCGGCUAACUCCGUG